RNAcentral lists this ribosomal RNA (253 nucleotides) under uncultured bacterium. RNAcentral describes it as "partial 16S ribosomal RNA". It matches the Rfam family "Bacterial small subunit ribosomal RNA", at positions 524 to 776 of the family's 1533-position model. The record is from RNAcentral.
UACGUAGGGUGCAAGCGUUAAUCGGAAUUACUGGGCGUAAAGCGUGCGCAGGCGGUUUUAUAAGACAGAUGUGAAAUCCCCGGGCUCAACCUGGGAACUGCAUUUGUGACUGUAGAGCUGGAGUGCGGCAGAGGGGGAUGGAAUUCCGCAUGUAGCAGUGAAAUGCGUAGAGAUGCGGAGGAACACCAAUGGCGAAGGCAAUCCCCUGGGCCUGCACUGACGCUCAUGCACGAAAGCGUGGGGAGCAAACAGG